GUUGGAGUGGAGGUCAUAAAUCUGGCACUAGAGGGUGAAGAGCAGAAACUUGGUUAUGGGACCAAGAAUAUUUCCAUUACGCUGCGUCUGCUAACCAACCCAAACCAUCUGGUAGCUCUGUCUCCUGUCCAGCCUGUCUCUACUGUCUCCUGUCCAGCCUGUCUCUACUGUCUCCUGUUCAGUGCAUAUCUGAGGGGCACCAUGAUGCAGCAGAUUCUGCAGAACAUGCACAUUGAACCAGAGCUACUGGUGAAGCUGAGCAAGGAACAGAAACACGUUCUGUUCUACAAGAUCCGCGAGGUGCAGGUCCGCCGCUGGAACGAGAGGGAGGCCCGCGAGCACGUUACCUAAAGCAGAAACCGGGACCCAGAAACAAGCUGAGGAGACGGCAUCUGCAGCCUGGCAUGUUGGAAAAGUUCAUACUCAGCCCUGGGUCACCAGCUCCCAUUCAUCUGUUUUCUCAACUGAAGAGGGUGCAGAUGAAUGUGACUCCUUGGGAGGGUAAAUGAUGCAGCUGACAGACAGAGAUGCAGCUUCCUGGGAUGUUUCUGUGCAGCAGCCUUGAUCCUCCUGCUUCCUCAAUUCUGUUUGUUUGGAGUACAAGGUGCCGGAACAUGUGUCCAUGGUAACCUGACAUUCUCUGUCUGAGGAGGAUAUAAACAUAUUCACACUGAUGUGCUUCUAUGGGGACUGAAUAUUUGUGUGUCUGUGUGUGAGGUGUAUGUGUGUGUGGCGUAUGUGUAUCUGA
This is a long non-coding RNA of Hypomesus transpacificus, 748 nucleotides long. RefSeq lists it as uncharacterized. The record is from RefSeq and is a predicted model, not a curated record. Lineage: Eukaryota; Metazoa; Chordata; Actinopteri; Osmeriformes; Osmeridae. The transcript has 3 exons.